GAUGACCCACCGGAGCUUUUGGCUGCUGCUGGAGCUGUUACUGGGUCGGUUCGAAAUCGCAGCUGCUUCGUGUUGUUAUUCCGGAUAUGGGCGCUGAAGUCACGAAGAGUUUAUUUAGUUAUUGUUGUGAUGCUCUGUAUUGUUUUAGUUAUGGUUUAUUGUACCCUCACCUUUAUCUUGAUAUAUUCUGUAAGAGGGAUAGGAAUUGUUUUAGCUAAUGCUUGUAAUAUUAUUUAUGUAUGUAUGUAUAUAUUUAUGGAUGUACUCUUUAUGAGAGUUUUUGUAAGUUGUAUGGUAUCUUUGUAUUUACGUUAUCAAAUGAAAGUAUUUUAGGAGUGGUAUUGCGGUUUCAA
Long non-coding RNA from Arachis duranensis, 353 nucleotides. RefSeq lists it as uncharacterized. NCBI's taxonomy places the organism in Eukaryota, Viridiplantae, Streptophyta, Magnoliopsida, Fabales, Fabaceae. The record is from RefSeq and is a predicted model, not a curated record. The transcript is spliced from 2 exons.